RNAcentral lists this transfer RNA (62 nucleotides) under Modiolus kurilensis. RNAcentral's name for it is "tRNA-Thr". Lineage: Eukaryota; Metazoa; Mollusca; Bivalvia; Mytilida; Modiolidae. The record is from RNAcentral.
ACUCUAAAAGCUUUAUAGAAGCAGUGGUCUUGUAAACCAAAGAAGGAAAAAUCCUUAGAGUU